GAGGGAUGGCAGAGCCCGGCCAAAUGCGUGAGACUCAAGAUCUCAUCCCUUAGGGGUUCGGGGGUUCAAAUCCCUCUCCCUCCA
RNAcentral lists this transfer RNA (84 nucleotides) under Candidatus Micrarchaeota archaeon CG1_02_55_22. Its description in RNAcentral is "tRNA-Leu". It matches the Rfam family "tRNA". Rfam says of the family: Transfer RNA (tRNA) molecules are approximately 80 nucleotides in length. Lineage: Archaea; Nanobdellati; Microcaldota. The record is from RNAcentral.